Molecule: ribosomal RNA, 271 nt
Filed under: uncultured bacterium
Lineage: Bacteria
Description: partial 16S ribosomal RNA
Rfam family: Bacterial small subunit ribosomal RNA
Source: RNAcentral
UACAGAGGGGGCAAGCGUUAUUCGGAAUUAUUGGGCGUAAAGGGCGCGUAGGCGGCCUGACAAGUGGAAGGUGAAAUCCCUCGGCUUAACCGAGGAACUGCCCUCCAAACUGUUUGGCUUGAGUCCGGGAGAGGUGAGUGGAAUUCCCAGUGUAGCGGUGAAAUGCGUAGAUAUUGGGAGGAACACCAGUGGCGAAGGCGGCUCACUGGACCGGAACUGACGCUGAGGCGCGAAAGCGUGGGGAGCAAACAGGAUUAGAUACCCGGGUAGU